RNAcentral lists this ribosomal RNA (180 nucleotides) under Enterobacter cloacae. Its description in RNAcentral is "partial 16S ribosomal RNA". It matches the Rfam family "Bacterial small subunit ribosomal RNA", at positions 1 to 176 of the family's 1533-position model. The record is from RNAcentral. RNAcentral also lists the same sequence under 8 other names. Lineage: Bacteria; Pseudomonadati; Pseudomonadota; Gammaproteobacteria; Enterobacterales; Enterobacteriaceae.
AAAUUGAAGAGUUUGAUCAUGGCUCAGAUUGAACGCUGGCGGCAGGCCUAACACAUGCAAGUCGAACGGUAGCACAGAGAGCUUGCUCUCGGGUGACGAGUGGCGGACGGGUGAGUAAUGUCUGGGAAACUGCCUGAUGGAGGGGGAUAACUACUGGAAACGGUAGCUAAUACCGCAUAA